AUUGAACGCUGGCGGCAGGCCUAACACAUGCAAGUCGAACGGUAACAGGAAGCAGCUUGCUGCUUCGCUGACGAGUGGCGGACGGGUGAGUAAUGUCUGGGAAACUGCCUGAUGGAGGGGGACAACUACUGGAAACGGUAGCUACUACCGCAUAACGUCGCAAGACCAAAGAGGGGGACCUUAGGGCCUCUUGCCAUCGGAUGUGCCCAGAUGGGAUUAGCUAGUAGGUGGGGUAACGGCUCACCUAGGCGACGAUCCCUAGCUGGUCUGAGAGGAUGACCACCCACACUGGAACUGAGACACGGUCCAGACUCCUACGGGAGGCAGCAGUGGGGAAUAUUGCACAAUAGGCGCAAGCCUGAUGCAGCCAGGCCGCGUGUAUGAAGAAGGCCUUCGGGUUGUAAAGUACUUUCUGCGGGGAGGAAGGGAGUAAAGUUAAUACCUUUGCUCAUUGACGUUACCCGCAGAAGAAGCACCGGCUAACUCCGUG
This 490-nucleotide ribosomal RNA is filed under the name uncultured bacterium. RNAcentral's name for it is "partial 16S ribosomal RNA". It matches the Rfam family "Bacterial small subunit ribosomal RNA", at positions 30 to 507 of the family's 1533-position model. The record is from RNAcentral.